UACUUCCCUUGGAAAGAUCAACAGAAAUUCCUGUAAUAAUAUCUGUUGCACAAUUUCGACCGGAGAAGGUGGGCAUAUUCCUAUCAAUCCUGUGAACAAAAGGUACAACCUUUUUAUGUGGCUCGUUUGAGCCUUUGUUGGUUAAAACCAAUUUGACAUUUUUUUCAUUCAAAUGCAGGCACACACUCUCUAACUACAGGCUUUUUCAGCUGCCAUUAAGAGAUUAGAUCCUACCUUGCCAAAAAAUGUUUAAUACCAUUUAGACUGCAAAAUUGGGUUAGAGGGAGCUAGCUCUAAACAACUAUUGACAAGUGUUUACGAAAUGGAAAGAGAAUUAUAGUAAAAACAGAGCAAAAGCUAAUGUUUCACUGAAGAAUCCAUAGAAAUUCUCUGCAAAAAACUGGGAUCUUGAUUGCCCUUGGUUAGCUAUGAUCCUAUUCCCAACAUGCUCAGCUCCUUACGUGGGAAAGGAUUUGUUGAAGUAUGCAGUAAUUGUGCACUACGUGCCAAGACUUCUGCGGAUCUACUUUUUAUUCAAAGAAGUAACAAGCACUUCUGGCAUAUUGACUGAGACAGCAUGGGCUGGAGCAGCUUACAAUCUUUUUCUCUACAUGCUAGCAAGUCAUGUGAGUUGAUUUUGUCACUUACGUUCAUAACACUUACCUAUGUUCCUAAUAAUCAUACUAUGUUUUAUGAGCAUCAACUACCAGGUGGUUGGAGCUUCUGGUAUCUGUUUUCAGUAGAAUCAAGGGUGAGGUGCUGGCGCAAGCAGCUGAAGAAUACUACUUUCUUUCAUGAAUCCUACCUUAGCUGUGAAUCUUACAAUUCUACUGUUCAAUCAUUUCUCAAUCACUCUUGCCCUAUCACUGAUCGACAAAACAUUGGAGACCUGGAAGCUUUCAAUUUUGGAAUGUUCAUAGAAGCUCUAAAGUCUCGAGUGGUAGAAUCAACUACUGAUUUUCAUCACAAGUUCUUCUACUGCUUUUGGUGGGGUUUGCGCAGUCUAAGGUAGGUCAAUAAUCUUUUCUACUGAUACUCUUGACUGCAUAUGCAACAUUCCCAUUUUAUAAACUUAGGAACUUAAUUUAAUCUACCUGUGUUCUUAAUUUUGUUCCCAACUUUUCUAUCUAAUUGCCUAUAGUUAGUGCAUGUUUAAUUUGAACCUCGGAUCAUAUCAAACAUAACUCAAGCUUAAAUCCGUGCAUCCAAAUCCAUGCAAGCUGAAAGCAUAGUACAACCUAAAGAUGGAGGCUAAAAGCAUGCAAAAGUCAUAUUUGUUUUGUGAUCUUUUGCAGUUCAGUUGGGCAAGGUCUCGAGACAAGUACUUAUGUAGGGGAGAUAAUCUUUGCUCUCUCCAUUGCUGUCUCUGGAUUGGUUCUAUUUGCAUCACUUAUUGGAAACAUGCAGGUAAUUCUAUGAGAUAAGAUAAUAGACAAGAGAAUAGAGUGAUCUUGUAUACAUUGGUGUAUUUACACCUCCCUAGUCAUGGAUACAGUGUAAUUCAUGAGUCUUUAUUUUUCAUUUUUUGCAAAUUAAAGGCCAAACAGACAAAGGGACAGAUUUUAAACCUUAUAGAGGAAACAAUUUUUUCAUGAAUUUUGAGUGUUAUAGAAGAGUUAGUUUCAUUCUCCCACCCUUGUCAUUUGUUGAAUUCAUGGAUUCGGUACUGUGUUGGUUAUUGUUGCAGAAAUAUCUACAAUCUCCCACUGUCAGAGUUGAAGAGAUGAGAAUCAAAAGGCAGAGAGAUUGUUGCGUGAAGCAGAAAAAAGGAUUCAAAAUUUGGAGAAAGAGGAAGGGUCCUCACCAAGCUUUGUAGCCACUGUAUAUACAUCAAGGUUUGCAUCAACUGCAUUGCGCCACCUGAGAAGUGGUAAACGCACCAGAGUGCCACAGGAAAAACUAGUUUCUUAAGAAAAUUUACAGCAAAACUUGUUGUGAUUUCACUUCUGUGCAUAUUCAACAUGCAUGUCCUUAGCAAUUUUGUCAGCAUAUGUAAGUAGCAAGUGGUGUUAAGGAUUUCUUAUAUGACAACAUUAUGUGCAUAAUCUUAUUCUAAUCAGUUUAUAUAUUCUAGUAUUUUCUUUGAUAAACUACCUUGUGUUUUGUCUCUGUUCAUGAUAAUAAUACAUUCACAUCUUAAGAUGAUUAUAUAUUAUAUGUUUUAGAAGUGCAUUAUGGUUGUUUUGAGAAAAUGAUUAUGUUAUAUGUUUUGUUAUGUUAACAUCUUGGUUAAAAUCAUGUUAAAUUUGAUUUUUUUUAAUAUUUUUUAUUAUAGUAUACUUUCCAUUACCUUUAUAUGUCUAAUUUAAUAAUAAUAAAUUAAUUUGAACUAAAAUGAGUAUUAUUGUUUUCAAAAUUAAAUUAAGUACUAUUUUGAAUAAAUGAAUUUGAAUCUUUAAUGGUCAAACUAGUUGCUAAGAAAAAUAUUUUAUAUUCCACAUCUUUUUUCCCUAAUUAAUAAAUUUAUUAUUUAUUUCAAUUCUAAAAUGAAAUACGAAAUAUUUAGUCAUAUUUACAUAAAUAAAUUAUGACAUUUCCUUAAAAUUAUUAUGCAAGUUAAUAAAGAUACGUUAUCUUAUACAAUUUCGUCAUUUAUGUUUACUAAUUAGUUAACACAUGCAUGGAUUUGAUUCCGAAAAAUCUUAUCCAAGUCUAAAUAAUUGAAAUUGAAUUAAAUUCAAAAUCGAAUUGAAAUUAAACCAAAUCCAUAUUUGUAAAAAAAAAAAAAAUUGGAUUUUAUAUAUUUAAAUCUAAUUAAUUGAAUUGUAUUACUAUUUUAAAUCCAUAUUUUUUAAAAUAAAGUUUGAAUACUUAUAGUUUGGUAUAUCCAAGUUUAAAAUUAGAUAUUCUUUUUCAACUUCAGUUUUUAUGAAAAUUUUUGUUGCCAUAUUUAAAUUAAAUUAUCAUAAUCUCCGUUUGCAUCUUUAGUCACUUAAUUUGAGUAUAAAAAUUGGUAAAUUGUCCAUAAAUUUAAGAUUAUGGUCAUUUGAAUAUAAUAUACUUUGCAUAUAUCACUUUAAAUAUACCUAUUUUUGCCCAUUAAAUAUUAAACCCAUUUUUCACAAUACAAACAACUAAUGAAACCUAAACACCACAUUAAAAGCUUUAGUUAUUUUUCAUUGUCUUCUUUAUCUUAGUGGUUGACAAUUGUGCAUGUGCUAUUUCAUUCAAUAUCUUGAGCACAAUAUUUUAGCUGUGUUACAAACAAUUCAAGAUCUACAUCAUCACUUGCUAUUUUAGAAAACCUUUGCUCGAAAAUUACAAAUAUAAAUUAAUUGAUAUAUCUUUUAAUUAUGUAACAAAGAAAAAUAAACAAAGAACCUAUGUAUAAAUACUUAUAAUAAGAUUUUAAGUAUCUGCACAUAAAUUUAUCAUUAUAUUACAAUAAAAAAAUUUAUUAUCUUCACCUAAAUCACAUACAUUCUUUUCUUAAUUGUGUACUUUGUUCACACUAUAAUCACUAAAAAAAUUAUAAAGAUCAUUCAAACUAUAAAAAAUAGAUAAAUAUCACAAAGAAAAACAUUAAAUAGAGAUACUUAUAUUGAGUUUCUGUGUUAUGUUUAAGUCUGGGGAAUGAGUUUAAGCACCUCACUCUGCACUUAAAACACUUAGAAAUUUUCUGAUAUCCCGAACUCCACUCCUUGUAGCUUAACCAACUCAAGAAACUUGAAACACCUAGAUUUCAAUCGUGUCCCAAACUCCACUCUUGCCUUAAGGAAUGUUCCAUAAAAAAACUAUAGAGAAAAAAAAGCACAUCUUGAUAGAGGCAAAUGCUCUCUACACCCAACACUUUUCAACCUGCACCCAACAUAAUUUAAAAAAUUUCGAAAAUACUCUUUAUUUCUGGAAAUGAAAAUCCGAAAUUGAAAAUAAUGCAUUCCAGAAAAAUAAAUCCGGAAGAGAUUUUUGUGUUUUGGAUAUAAAAAUCUGGAAAAAAAAUUAAAAUCUCAUUUCAGAUAAAAAAAUCCGGAACUGGAAAUAAUACAUUAUGAAAAAAAUUAUCUGGAAGAGAUUAUUGUGUUCUGGAAAAGGGGGUGGAAUGUAAUUUUAUAUGUACCCCAUUUUUUUAAGGGUAUUGUCGGUUUUUCCUGUGAUUGGGUGCAGUUAUAUGGUGCAGGAAGCAAUUGCCCUUGAUAGAUAUACGUCCUUAAUGUGCAAAGGACCGCUAUGUCUGUCCAAUUCACUCUUAAUGGGCUGGGUUGGGUUGAAAUCCUUCACUUAAUUCAACUUGGCUGCUUCUUUCUGCACCUCCAUACCUUCUUGUGUCACCCCAUAUGUUUUCUAUAUUCCAAAAAUAUCCUUUUUAAUAUUCUGGAUUACAUAAUCUGGAAGUCUUUUUCUAUAUUUAGAAUUAGCUUCCGGAUUAUGUAAUCUAGAAGCCUUUUGUGAUUAGUUUCUGGAUUACAUAAUCCGAAAGUCUUUUCUAUACAUAAGAUUAGCUUCCGGAUUAUGUAAUCUGGAAGGCUUUUUUUUUUCAGAUGUAUGAUUAGCUUCUAGAUUACAUAAUUUGGAAGUCUUUUCUAAAUAUGAGAUUGACUUCCGGAUUAUGUAAUCCGGAUAUUCUGGAUUACACAAUCCGUAAGCUUAUUUCAAAUGCAAAAAAGAGUUCCAGAUUUUAUAAAUCUCAAGAACACUUCCGAAUCCAAAAACAAUUUCUGGAUUAUGUAUGGAGGUGGCACAAAAAAGGAGAAAAUGGUAUUUUUACAUUUAGUAUUGGGGUGGCAGAAUAAGAUAUGGAGGUGUAGGAAGAAAGAGUCAUUCAACUUCCAUGAAUUCGAAACAAAAAACUGUGCCUAAGCUCUAUUGAAAAGGGUGAAUUUUUGUAUUAGAACUUUUUUGUGUGACUUGCGGUUAUCCACUUACAUUACAUCAUUUUGUAAUAUUCCUUUUAGUAUUUCAUAAUUCAAUUUUUUACAUGCAAAAAAUGUGUUAAAACUGAAAAAUCAUGAAACCUUAAUUACCACCAUAUUAAGCACUUAAAAUAUAAUUAUUGAAUAAAAAAUUGAAAUAUAUUUAGGGAACUGAAAAAUAGUUAAUGUUAUGUCUGGUGAUUGAUAAAAAUAUAUUAAAUCACAAUGUAUGCUCUUAAUUGAGAUCACAACUAAAAUUCACCAAAAAUCAACAAUAUUUGAAGGAAUAUAUGAAGGAUUAAUUUGAUUAUUGGUUAGAAAAAUGUUAAAUAAAACUAUUUAUAAUAUUUUAGUAAACAAGUUUACAUCCUAAAAAAAUUAAAGAUAAAUUUUAAAUAAAAUAACAAAUAAUUUAAAAAAAUAUAUUUGUAUUUCUAUAUAAGAUCUUCUACGUUCGUUUCAUGUCUAUAUAUAUGGACUAGGUAUUCAAGUUUUAACCAAAAUUUAUCUCAACAUAAUUUGCCAAAAGUGGAGUGGAAGUCACGUUUUCAUAAUUGCUGCUGUAACUACAGAAUAAACUUCUGUUUCUCUUAAUCUCUAUUCUUGUCUAAUUUUUCUUUCCUUGUUACAGUUUAAUAUGGAUAAAUUGUUUUCCUAAAUAUAACUAAGAGACUUCAUAGUCUGUUUCCAAUAGAGUUGUUCUACAUACAGAAGAUUAUCACAACCACAAAAUCUUAGCCAAUGAAAGUUCACAUAGAAAUAACAUUUAUUAUUAAGACCUCAUGUGUGUAGUGUCCAUUAUUCUUAUUAUUUUAAUUUAACAAUGUAAUACAUUGUAUUAUUAAUAAUAAAAAUAUAUCACUAAACAAAAUAUUGAAUUAUCUGCUAACAAAUUGUGAAGGCUAUACAGUAAAUAGUGAGGGUCAAGCUUUUCAUAAAUUGAAGAGUAAAACUCACGUUAGAUAUUUAAAAAAUAUAAACAAGUAUGCACAUGAAAUAAAAAUAAUAAUAAAAUAUUGAAAUUGUAAAGGUUUAUCUCACUAACAUAAGCGUGGGAAUAAUAAACGUAAAGUACACACUACAUUUUUUUUUUUUAAAUAAUAGUGGCAACUUCUUCCUGCACCUCUACAAAUUUCUUCCUGUACUCCCUUACUGUCAGAAAAGACUUUUUUCCCCUUUAAAAAAUGACUUUCGGAUUUCCUUUUCGAAAUAUUCACAUCUUUUUCGGAACUUAUUUUAUGAAUUCUGGAUUUAUAAAUAAAUAAAAAACUGUGUUCUGGAAAAGAUAUUCCAGAAUGAUUUUUUGUCUUCCAGAUUUUAUAUUUCAGAAAUAUCUUUGAUUUACGAAACUACAAUGGUAGAAACAUCUAAAACUGCAAAGGGUAAUUUUGGUAUUUUAUAAAAAUAUAGGGAUGCAGGAAGAAAAGUGUAAAGGUGCAGGAAGAAACAUCCAAUAAUAAAAUAUUAAGAUUGUGAAAGUUUAGCUCACACUAACAUUUAAAAAAACAAUAAAAUGUCAAAACAUGUGUAAUCCUGAUAACUGUAAAGACACUUAAUUUAAAAAAAAUUAAUAAAUAUGUAUGUUAAAUAUAAAUAAUAAUAAAAUAUUAAAAUUGUGAAGGUAUGGUGCAUACUAAAUGUUAAAUGUAUUUUUAAAUUACAUUUAAAUUCAUAAUAAGUUUAUAAAGUUUGUAAAUAUAAAAUGAGGAUAAAAAAAUAUAUAAAUUUGAAUUUUUUUUAUUGGUGGGAUAUUUUGUGAGACUACUGUGUUUUUGAAAAAUAAUAAUUUUUAAAUUUUAAUUAAAUUUUAUUUUUUAUUAUUAUUUAUAUUUUUUUUUAUUGGUGGUGUGCCAUAUAAAAUAGUAUAAUUAGAAAUAUUUUAUUAUAUAUAUUUGAAUUAUGUUAAAUUAGUUAUUGAAGAAGAAUUUCACAUAAAGUUAAAAGGUAAUAUAACUAAUAAUAUUUUUGCAUGAAUAAUAUGAUAAAAUUAAAAAUAUUUAUGAAAUUUAAUUAUCUUAAAAAAAAUUUAAUUAUUUAUUUAAUUUGAUUCUUAUGGUAAUAAUAAAAGAUAUAACCUUUUUAUACUACAUUACAAUAAAAAAAAUGUGAAAAAUGCUACUAAAUUUAGUAGUUAAAAUUUUGGUAGUUAAUUAGAUAUCAAUUUAAAAAUUAUUUAACAAUAAUAAAAAUUAAUUUAGAAACCAAUUUUUGUUUAGUUUCUAUGGUUUCUAAUUUAGUCAUUAUAGCAACUAAUUAUUUUUGUGUGUCUAAAAUUAGUUUUUACUCAAUGAUUUUCUUGUAGUGUAUAACUAAUUUUAAAAAAUUAAAUAUUAUCUGUAAUCAUGCAUGUACUUAGUUAAUAACGAAGAUUUCCUAUUAAAGUGGAAUUGUUUUAAUCAUAAUAAACAUAAAAAAUUUACGAUAACAUAUACGAUUAUGAUACUAUAACAAAUUAUUGUAUUAUUAUUAUAUCUAAAUAUACCUGUAAAUAUAUAAUACUAUAUAAUUUAAAUUUGUAGUGCUAAAACUGUCAGUUUCUAGUUUGCCAAUAUUUUCGUUGCCUCCAACCGCACUUUCUAAUUUCCUAAUAUUUUUCAAUUUCUCAAUCUCAAAUCCCUUUCAGCUAAAAGUUUCGUGGCUAAAGCUCAGUUCCGGUAUUGCAUUUAUAAGAGAAUAAUAAAAAAAAAAUUAUAAUUUUUUAUUCUUUUAUGUGUAUCACGUAUAGAAAAUAUAUAGACAAUUGUUUUUCUCUUCAAAUUAUAAUCUAAUUAGGUAGAAUACUAAUGAGAUUAUAUCAUUAUUAAAUUAAUUACAUAUAAUUAGAUAUAAUAUUGUAUAAUAUUAUAUACAAUAAUUAUAUAUAAUUUAAUAAUUAUUAUUUUCUUAAUAGUAUUUUUAUUUUUUAUUUUUUAUUUUGUCUUGCUUCAUGUUUUCACUAUAAUAUCUGGAUUAUUUGGAUUUUGAAGGUGCAGCUCUAAUAUUUUCUUUCACAGUUUGACGUUUUGUUUCACAGUUUGAGGUAAAACUUUUUUUUGAAUUUUAUGGAAACUUUCGCUUAUGAUCAUUGUUUUCACUUGUGAUGUGAUACACCACAAAGUAGAUGGCACAGUUCUAUUUUUCUGCUGCGGCAGGGUCAUGUUUUGGUUCUGGACUUGUAAGGUAGAGAGGUUUCUUUUUUUAUAUAAUAUCUAUUAGGUUGAACACAUUUUUAGUAGAUAUAUAUACUUAUAACAUGUUACGGAUUCAACAUGUUCGUCAAAUCGUUUAAUAUAAAUAAAAUUGUAGACACUUCGAUUGUUUAUUAUAUGGUGUAACUUUCAUUAAUCAGUGUUAAAUAAUUUAAAUCACAUAUAAAACAUAUAAUUCAAAUCACAAAUAUAGAAGUUAACAAUUCAGUUAGAUUUUGUUAUCAUAAAAACAUAAACUUCACAUAUAAUUUUCUAGUGUAUCAACAGACCGUCUAAGCAUAUUGUAGAGUCUUAAAAAUCAAUAGAAUUUUUUUUAGUUAUUAGUUCCUUUUUAAUUUUCAAAGUUGUAUACAUUUAUAAAUUUCACUACAAGAAAAUCAUUAAAUAGAGACCAAUUUUAGAGAUAAAAAUAAUUAGUUACUAUAUUGACUAAAUUAGAUAUCAUUUUAGAGACUAAAAAAAUUAUUGAAUUCUAAAUUAGUUUUUAUUAUUGAUUAAUAGUUUCUAAAUUGGUAUAUAAUUAACUACCAAGAUUUUUGCUACAAAAUUUAUAAUCUAAAUAAUUGAUAGCUAAAUCACAUCAAUUACUAGUUGUUGUGUGUAUUAGAUAAACAUGAACCUUUAUGGUGUGUUUGAAUCAAGAAAAAGAUUUGAAUGAGUUUAUUAAGAGUGAUUUGAGAGAAAAAUGAGAAAAAAGUAAGAUUGUUUGUAUUAAGAUACGUAGAAUGAAUUUAUAAGACAAAUUUAUUGAUGUUUACAAGUGAUUACUUUGAGAGAAUUUUUAAAAUGUAAAUUUAUAACUUUACCAUUAUCUUAAAAAAUAUUUAAUUAAUAAAAUAUGAGAUUUUUUUUUUUAAAUUUUGAGUUAUUUUUUAAAAUAAUUGUUAGAACAUAAAAAAAUUUCAUGUUAAAUGGAUAAAGAGAGGAGCAGUCAUCUCUGUAAAUCUAUGUAAUUAUGGCCUUUGUUCACUUGAAAAAUGAUGUAAAAGGCCUUUACAAAAAGACCCUACAAGAGAAAUGCCAAAAACCACAAGAGAAAGAAUCUGUAUGUAAUCCAUCAGAAUCAAAUUAUUCCCAUAUUCAUUCCAUAUUCCAUGUAGUAAUUAUGGUUUUCCCAUAAAGUUGUUCAUUCUAUUUUCUAAUAGAUUGGUGAUUUUUAUUAUUAUUAUAAAACAUUUUUAUAACAUAAAAUUUAUUUAAUAUUUUAUUUUUUAAAUAUUAUAGUAUUGAUUUUUUUAGAUGGAUUGUUUUAGAAAAUUCAAGGAUAAUUAGGAUAAUCUAUCUAAAGAAAUCCUUGGACACUUAUGAAGAUGAAUAAAACAUUGCAUUGGGUCCCUUACAGUUCCAGUAAGACAAGGAAAUUCUCCAUCAUUUCUUUAUUCUUUUAUGUUUUGUUUGUUUCUUUCCAUUUAAGAAAGAUUUGCGGGAGAAUUUGUGUUUGUUUCAACAAAUUGAAAGAGAUUUACAAGUGAAGAAAUGUGGGAAUUGAUUGAAAUGUAUUUUGCAUAUAAGCAAAGAAACUUCACAGAAUAAAGGAGAAAAACAUGUAACAUUUAUUUUUUCUACUUUGUCCAUUCAUUUUUUAAUUUUUAAAACAUAACCAAAUUUAAAAAAUAAAAAGAUAAAUAAAUUUACACAAUUUUCAAUUCAGAAAAUAAAUUUAUGAAUAUAAAAUUAUAAAUAUUUUAUUAUAUGUAUUUAUAAUAAAAAUAAAUAUUUUUUACACCAAAUAUUUUAAUUAACUCAAAUUUACACAAAAAUAUUUUAUAUUUUAUUAUUUAAAUAUUUUUAAAUAUAAAGAUAAAUUUAAUAAUAUAAAUAUAUUUAUAUAGUAAUAAUAAAAGAAAAUAAAUUAGUAAUAUAUUUAAAAUUUAAAUUAAGAAUAAUAUAUAUAAAAAAGUAAUAAAAUUAUGAAUAAUACUAGUAACUAAAAUAAUUUUUUAAAAUGAUAAUAAUAAUAAAUUAUAAAAAAUAAUAAUAAAAAUAAAUUUCAUAUUUAAUAAUAAUUAAAAUAAAUUUAUUAAAUAAUAAUAUUAACAGUAAUAAAAAUUAAUUUUAAUUUUUAUUUGAUUUGAUUUUAUGAAAAUAUUUUUUAUAUAUAUUUAUAAAAUUUUAAUUAACUAAAAUUUAUAAAAAAUAUCUCAAAUUUUAUUAUUUAAAUAUUUUUUAAAUAAAAAGUAAAUUUGUAAACUUAUAUUUUACAUAUUUAAAAAAAAUAAAAAUCUCUUUACAACCAUCAUAUCAUUCACAAACUUCAAUAAACUUUUCUCACAAAUCUAUCAUAUUAUAUCCUAAUCCAAACAAUUUCACUUUCUUUACAUUAAGUCGGGUCGCCUAGAAUCACCUGUCCAAUGAAAAAUGAAAAUGUUCCAUUCUUUUCUAAUCCGUCACGUGAUUGUUUGUUUCGGACAAGAAAAAAGACAAAGAAAGUCCCACAAAUAUUUGAAUUCUAAACUUUCUUUAAUUCCUAGUUCAUUAUUUAUUGAAGAAAUCCUAUUUUCAAAAUAUUAUUCCCGAUAAUCUUUAAACCUUAUUUUUUCUAAUAAAAAUAUUAUAUUAUAAUAAAAUAAUGUUUUUUUUAAUUUCUUUGAUGGUUUUCGUAGUUUUGUAUUUGAAAAAUGUUUUUUUACAUUUAAAAAAAUAACAUUCAUUUAACAAUCCAUUUUAAAAUAUAAUAAUGUAUAUUAGAAUUUUAAAUUAAAAAAGAAAACAAAUAUUAUUAAAAUAUUAUUAUUUUAGAGUGUAAAGUGAAUUUUUAUUUUAAAGACGGUGAUAUACUAACACUCUUAAUAGUUAAAUUAUAUACACUUCAUUACUUAAUAAAUUAAUAUUUUAUUUUUUAAUUUAAAAGUAUUAUUAUACUAUUAUAAACAAAUAGCGUGAAUCUAAAAUGUAUGUUUGUGCAACCAGCUUUUCUCUAUUCAUUCUUUAUGGAACACACUUUAUUUAAAGUUGUAUGAAGACGUUCAAAAUUAGUGAGCUAAGCCACACUUAACACCUCCUGCACAGACAUAUUACUCUAUAAAUAUCUAACCAUAUAUUACCAUCCCUGAAGAAACAUUUGAGAAGUGUAGAUAUGUGUGGGAGGGACAAAAAGAGGGUUUGUUCUUGUUCUUGUUCAUGUUCAGAGAAGAAGAACAAAAGGAUUAAGCAUGGAAAAAGGCCUCUUCCUGAUCUCAAUUACCCUCCUCCUCCUGAUGACCACCACCAACAUUCAUCAUCUUCUUCUUCUCCCCCUCCUCCUCCCAAUUACGAUAAGGUUCCACACUUCUCUCUAUAAUGUUUUCAUCUUACUUAGAUUCCACUACUCAUUACUUUCAGCUUCAGCUUCUGGGGACUGCUCGUCAACACAGUCCUGCUGCUGCUGCUGCCUCUAGGAAGCGUAAAAUGGAAGAGAGUGAGAGUGAGAGUAGCUCCCACUGGAUGAAAGCAUGCUGGAACAAGGUCAUGAAUUAUAUCAUAUCCAAUCCCAACAACCCCAACAAGAAGAAGAAGAAGGAUGAUCCAGCACAACAAGAAGAAGGAUGACCCACUACAAUAACUCCAAGUCUGUCUCUAUAACCCUUUCACUGUUCAUGUUGUUGCUACAGUACGUGAAGAGUGAGAGUGGUCGUUUCGUUGGUGUUGUGUGUGAUGUUGCAGUACGGCAAGUUCUGUGUGUUUAUAAUAAAUUCAGUAUUUUUAUAUACUCUCCUUAUAUAACUUUUGUUCCAAGUUUGUUUCACUUUGUUAUUGGGAAAUAUGUAAAAAUAAGUAAAUUGUAAUAUAUUAUUUCUCCAUUUGAAUUCUAUUGUCUUUAUCUUUGGUCUAUUUUCUUUUUUUUUUCUUGGGAGUUACUUUCUGCUUCCCAUAAUUUAAAACCAAACUCAUAUAUAAUUUGAAAAUUCAUUUUUAUUAUUUUAAAAUUCUGAGGUCAUCCUUACCAACCUAAAAGCAUAUAGUUUGACACAGUAGAUUAUGUCAACUCGGCCACAUAUAGUUUGAUAAAGUAGAUUCUGUCAACUCGAGGCACAUAUGGCUAUAAAUAGAGAUUCUGCAAAGGUCUAAACAUAUUGUGAUCCCUAAAGGGUCAUUUGGGUAGAAAUGUGUGGGAGCUGCAAAAAGAGGGGUUGUUCUUGUUCUUGUGCAGAGAACAAGAACAAAAGAGUGAAGCAUGGAGAAAGGCAUCUUCCUGACCUGAAUUGUCCGCCUCCUCCUUCUGAUGACCACCACCAACAUUUAUCAUCAUCAUCGUUUUCUUCUCCUCCUCCCAAUUACGGUAAGGUUCCACGUUUCUCUCUAUAAAUAUAUGCCAUCUUUUUCAAUUACUUACUUAGAUUCUCCUCAUUACUAAGUUAAACUAAUUUAAUUAUAUCAGCUUCAGCCUCCAGCUUCAGCUUCUCUGGGGGCUGCUCGUCCUGCUGCUGCGGCCUCUGGGAAGCCUACGAUGGGAGAGAGUAGCUGACACUGGAACAAGAAGAAGGAUGACCCAGCACAAUAACUUCAAGCCUGUUUCAUUAUACAUGUUGUUUCAGUGAUCGUUUCUUUUGUUUCUUUUGCUUUUGUUUCUUUCGAUGGUGUUCCUUCCGGCCAAAUUCUGUGUGUUAUAAUAAAUUGAGUAUUUUUAUAUUGUAACUUGGGUUAAAAGUUUGUUCACUUUGUUAUGGGGAAAUGUAUCUUUUUCUUAUUCACUCUAUCAAUCUAACAAGAGGGUAAAUCUUGUUCAUGUUCAGAUCAAUUUAUUGAAGCAUGGAAAAGGGUCUCUUCUUGAUCAUAAAACAAAAAUGACGGAAGCGGUAUUCAACAUAUAAUGAUUCUGUCUUUCCCGACAUAGGCAAAAGUAUUUAAGAUUAAAAAAUGGUAAUGUGUCAGAACUUACCCCUUGUCCCUGCAGAAACAGAAAGUCCUAAAAUAGCGUAUCACCCUUUAAAAAUUUAGUGAGAAAAAUGAAAAGGAUAACUUAACAAAUGGAUUAAAGGUUAUUUUUUCUCACUAUUAUACAUAGAAUUACAUAAAAUAUUCUUAUCUUAUUAGUGUAUUUUUAUCUAUAGAUAGAUUUUUAUAACUCACUAUUUAUCAUUGACGAAAUAAAAGAAAAUAUAAAUAUAUAUAAAUCACAUCAAUUAUUGUUUGUCUAUUCCAAGUUGGGAAGGGAACCGUCUUUACCAAACCAUGCCCAUUAUGACAAUGACUAGGAUGGUAGUUUCAGUGAUCGUUUCGUUUUUUUCGUUUCGUUUGUUUGUUGGUGUUCUGUGAUGUUGCAGUAGGGCAACUUUUGUGUGUUAUAAUAAAUUCAGUAUUUUUUAUAUUUUUUAAUUUUUUUUAAAUAUUUUUUUAUCAGCACAGUAUUUUUAUAUAGAAUAAUGUUUUUUUUAUAUACUCUCUUUUAUAAAUUUUGUAAAUAGCAUUAAAAUAAUGAAUAAGGAAAGUGGAAGGUCCUAAUUUCUAAAAUAUGGUGUGGACUUUGGGCAAAGGCAGAUCCACCAGAAAUUGCAGUCUUGGUGGUGGAGAGGAAGGCGAAGAAGUAGAGUGGGUCCAAAAAACUCUGUGUUGGAAGGUUGGAUCGGGAAAUAAAACAAGAUUUUGGAAGGACACAUGGACUGGAAGGAAUAAUUUCUUAUCCUAGAUUGUUCUCUCUGUCUUUGGAUCACGGUUUGACGGUGGGUGAGAUAGGAAGUUGGAAAGAAUCAGUGUGGGGCUGGAGAUUAAGGUGGAGGAGAAAAAGAUUUGAAUGGGAAACUACACAAGAACUUGAAUUGUUUAGGAGCAUAUCCUUGAGUUCUCUUAAUAGGAAGGAACAGGAUGUCCUUGUAUGGGGUGGGAAUCCUAAUGGUGAGUUCACGGUAAAGUCUGCGUACAAAAACCAUGCGCCAAUCUGGCCUGAGGCUUCUUCAAACAGUUGUGGCAGGUCAAAGCUCUCCCCAAUCCCAUGGAAGAUUUUUUUAGAAGAGGAGUGUUAGGUGGACCCUCGGGAUGUGCAUUAUGCCAAGGUUCAGUAGAAACCUCUCACCAUCUUUUUUUGGAAUGCAUCCUAUCACAACAGGUUGUUUGUCCCACAUAAGGACUUGGAGGUUUACUUUGAAAUGCACUUGAGCACAAAGCAAAAUCUAGCGUGGAAAGGUUUGUGGGUGACAGCUGUGAGAGGAAUAUGGGAACAAAGAAACCUAGGCAUAUUUGGUAUCAUGCAGGUAUACCUUGGCUUGGUUGUGCUGGUAGUUACUCCUCCGAUUCUGGUAGGUACCCCUUAGCUUAGUGAGCUUUGGUUGUGCAUGUUCCGUUGGUCCUAGUAAGUGUGAUCAACAAUCGUGGCUACCACAUGGAGUUGCUUGCAAUGUUGCUGCUUUGCUGAGAAAUCUUUUGGAGCUAGUUUAUCCCUUAAUGCAGGUCAUCAUGGCAAGUGAUUUUGCAAUAGCUCAAUUUUGGUUUCUGGAGAGCUCGGUGUUGGUACAUGAACUUUGGAGGCAUAUGCCUCUUUCUCUGCUCAAGCUGCUCACAAUGAUUGGUAGAUGCGUGGUGGUAUGUAGUGAUGCGGGAAGCAAAUGCAGCAGGUUCGGGCAUCAUUUUGUCAUUACAAUUGUUGGUUAUGCUGUGCUGGUCCUAAAUCGCUGCAAUGGGAAGAGAGGAGGUUGUAUACACCUAGCUCUUAGCUUGAUAUUUUUCCAGCAGCUACCUUGUCAUCAGGUUUAUGUUUUUGCUGGUUUUAUGCAGAACCAGUUUUUGGGACUGGGUAUCUUUAACUAGUUUUAAGUUUUUUUUGAGUUAAGUGGUAUAUGCUUAACUAAAAGUGUUUUGUGUUUUAGUAUAAGGGUUAGACACCCUAAAUAUUUCUUUUAAUUUUUAUUAAUUUAUUGUUGAUAAAAAAAAUGAAAUUAUUUAAUGUCUUCAAAUUUUAAAUAUUCGUUAUUUUCUUUUAUUUUAUUUAAUAAGUUGUAAUUGAUAUAAAAAAAUUAUAUUUAUGAAUCCCAGACAGUGCAUUCUCUUUCUCCUUUUUAGCUCCAAUGCUGGAAUGUAACAAAUAGCAAAAGAAAACUCAUCAAAUAAUUGUUGUAUCAUAUCAAAUAAAGCUGCCUUACUUAAAACUAGAACCACAGAAAAAAGUGCAUAAAUGAUAUCACUCUUGUUGUGACAAGAUGGAGUUGAUAAAAUCCUUCUUUUCAGUCUAGGUCUACCUCUAAAUAUUUAAAUAAUUAAUUAUAAUUUUCUCUAAAAUAUUUAAAUAAUUAAUUAUGAUUUUUUUGUGUGUAGAUUUGAAUUAAUUAAAUUUUUUAAUAUAUAAUAUUUAUAAUUAUUUAUAUUUUAUAAUCAAAAUUAAAAAAUAUAAUAGAAAAUAUUUUUGUGUUAAAUUGAAAUAAAAUUAUUAAAUAUAUUAAAAUUUAUGAAAAUAAUAUUUAAUUUUGAUAUUGUAAUAAAGUACAUUUUUCUACCAUUUUUUAUAGUAUUAAUAUAUAAAUACAAUUUCUGAUUUGUUUUUCAUGCAAUGUGAAGUAUUAGUUGGUAAUUUAUUCUUACAUUAAUUUAUUUAUUACUUUUUUAUAUAUAUAAUAUCUAAUAUCUCAUAGGUUGAAUGCACUUUUAGUAGAUUUAUCGGGACUCAAAACCAAGUCUUUCCAGUGACCAAGGAAGCAUUGACCACUAGACCAGACAAGUUUUUUGGUCAUAUUAUCAUUUUUAUUAUACUUAUACAUAUUAAUAUAAUUUAUACAUAUUAAUAUAAUAUAAUUUAUACAUAUUAAUAUAAUAUAAUUUAUACAUAUUAAUAUAAUAUAAUUUAUACAUAUUAAUAUAAUUUAUUAAUAUUAAUAUAACUUUAAUACUAUAAAUACAUAUAUAUUGAUUAAUAUAUUUUUUUAUUUAAUCAUUUAUUUUUUAAAACUCAUGGUUAAAUUUAAAUUUACUUUCAUAUUAUAUAUAUAUAUAUAUAUUAAUAUAAAAUUAUUUGAUAUCUUAUUUUCAAAUAUAGGUUAUUAUAGGUAGUUGUGAAGUUUUUGUUAGAUGGCUAUAUAGGUGCUUGUAUCUUACACUUCUUUUCUUAUUUGAGAUUCUUGUAUAAGGAUUGAAAUAUCCUUAAAAUGUUUCCUUUAAUUUUUUUUAUACUUUGUGAUAAAAAAAAUCUUAUUUUCAAAUAUUUACUUACAUAGAUUAAAAUUGNNNNNNNNNNNNNNNNNNNNNNNNNNNNNNNNNNNNNNNNNNNNNNNNNNNNNNNNNNNNNNNNNNNNNNNNNNNNNNNNNNNNNNNNNNNNNNNNNNNNUAAAUUAUUUAAUCACUUUGUCAUUAUGAUUUAUAUAUUAGUAGAGAAAGUUAUUUAGUAACAACUUUUUACAUAGAUUUAUGGAAUAAUUAAUAUAAUUUAAACUAUAAUAUAUGCUAACUAGUAAUUUGUAUUAGAGAUUUAAUUAAUAGUUAAUGUAAAAGUCAUCAUUCUAUGUUAAAAGAUAAUAUUGUUUGUUGACAAUAUUCUUUACUAUAACACACAAGUAAAACCAACUACCUAUAAUGAACUUAAUUAAGUCAAUAUGAUCGUAAAAUAAUAAUUAAUAUGAUAGUUGAUUUUAAUGUAAUAGGUAAUAUGAUAACUAUGAGUAUGACAUAUAUUAAAUGUGAUUCAUACUAAUAGAUAAUAUAAUAAAUUAUGUUUAGUUUCAAGUAGAUUAUAGAUAAAUUAAAUGUGAUUCAUAUGUUAAUAUUGUUAGUAUUAUUAUUAUUGUUAGUAUUGUUAAUAUUGUUAGUAUUGUUAAUAUUGUUAGUAUUGUUAAUAUUAUUAAUAUUGUUAAUAUUAUUAAUAAUAAUAAGUAUAAUAAAAAUCAUAAUAAAACUAAAGAAUUUGCUUAGUGUAGUUGUUAAAUUUUCUUUGGUUGCUGAAGGAACCCGGCUUCGAAUAAUUUUAUUUUAUGGUGCCAAUAUUUAAUUUCCGUUCCAUGGCGCCAAAAAUUACAUACGGAUUUGUAAUACGUUUACAUACAAAAUUUAAUCCGUAUGUAAUGUUGAUUUUACAUACGGAUUUUGAUCGUAUAUAAUUCGCGUGUACAUAAUAUGAUUGGAGUAUCAUACUCAACCUGUUGGUAAUGUUGUUUGUCUUUAUGUACAUGUAGGUUUGAUGAUAAGCAACAUUUCAAAUUACUUAGAAUAUCAAGUAAGAUUUUAUCAUGUUUCUAAAAAUUUUAAAAAUUGACACCAACAAAAAAUUUAGUGAAAAAAAUGAAAAGGAUAACUUAACAAAUAGAUUAGAGAUUUUUUGGAUCAUUAGUGUGCAUAAUUAUUUGUGUAUUUUUAUCAUAGAUAGAAUUUUAAAAUUUAAAAUAACCCAUUAACUAUGUUCGGUAACAAAAUUUGUCACUAGUAUUGUUUAUAGUAAAAUAAAAAACUAAAAAGUCUUUUUUGUGAACUUUUUACAAUCCGUCUGUUCGUGUUUCUGACAUGUUUCCGUCACAGACAUUCACGUGUUGCCGAGAGAUCUACCACUUACACUUUUCUUUCUGAGUAUUCAUUCACAUUGAUACCUAUAAAUUCAAUUCAGUUCUAAAAGUAUUAGCAUCCCUAAUCUGAGAAGUGUGGAAAUGUGUGGGAGCGGCAAAAAGAGGGUUUGUUGUUGUUCUUGUUCAUGUUCAGAGAAGAAGAAGAAAAGGGUGAAGCAUGGAAAAAGGCCUCUUCCUGAUCUCAAUCACCCUCCUCCUCCUGAAUCAUCAUCUUCUUCUUCUCCUCCUCUUCCUCAUAAUUACGAUCAGGUUCGACACUUUUCUCUAUAAAUAUAUGCCGUGUUUUCAUUUUCAAUUACUUACUUAGAUUCUCCUCAUUACUUAUAAGUUACUAAGUGAAACUAUAACUUCAUUAUAUCAGUUUCAGGUUCUGGGAGCUACUCGUCCACACAGUCCUGCUGCUGCCUCUAGGAAGCGUAAAAUGAAAAUGGAAGAGGGAGAGAGUAGCUCCCACGGGAUGAAAGCAUGCUGGAACAAGGUCAAGAAUUAUGUCAUAUCCAAUCUUAACUCCGGCAAGAGGAAGAAGAAGGAUGAGUCAGCACAAGACCAAGAAGAAUGAGCCUGUCUCUAAAACUCUUUCAUUAUACAUGUUGUUUCAGUGAUUGUUUCAGUUUCAGUUUCAGUGAUUUCGUUGUUGUUGUCUGAUGUUGCAGUAGGCUAAGUUCAGUGUGUUAUAAUAAAUUGAGUAUUUUUAUAUACUCUCCUUUUAUGAAUUUUGUUACGAGUUUGAUCACUUUCUUAUGGGGGAAUAUAUUAAAUAAAAAUAAAUAUGCUUUAACAAUUCUUAGAAUUUAUAUAAUUUUUUAUGUGAUGAAUUUAAAAAUAAAUAUAUAUAUAUAUAAUAAAAGGUAGAUUUGUAAUAAUUAAAUGAUAUGAAAAAAAUAUUUUAAUUGAUGUACUUUUAUUAUAUAUUUAGAUUGUAACCUUUAAGACUAAAAACCUAACCUUAAAUGUAAAUUAUAUAGAAAACAAAUGUAACCUUUAAAACUAAAGUGAAACCUAAUGUAUAUUAUAUAGAAAACAUUUAAGGUCAUCCUUACCAACCAACCUAAAAGCGAAAGCUUCUAAAGUAAAUAUAUUUAUUUUAUUUUCGUAUUCAUCUAAAUCAGUAAUUAGGUAUAUGUAAUUAGACUGUAAAAUUUCAAUUAUUGUGAAAAUCCACACCUUUUAAAUAUGAUUCACAAAAGUAAAUUAACUUAAGUAUAUGAAUUAAUGCAUACAACAACAAAAUAAAUAAAUUAACUUAGGAAAUAAAAUGAAUGAAUAUUCAUAAUAGGAUUUUAAUAAAGUCCUUCAUGUCUUUAAUACUUUAAAUCACCAACUUUUAUUAGUUUUUGCCUUACCUGGUUGCAAGACAAAUACCCAUCAUUUCUUAAAUUCAACAAAAUUAAUUAGGAUAAUCUAUCUAAAGAAAUCUUUGGACACAUAAUGUAUAUUAGAAUUUUUAAUUAAAAAACAAAACAAAUAUUAUUAAAACAUUUUUAUUUAAGAGUGUAAAGUGAGUGUCUUUUAUUUUGAGGGUGUUAAAAUAAAAUAAAAAUGGCAAAAGUUGUUUGACAAAAAAUUACUCAGAAUGUCAAAUAAGAUUUUAUCAUGUUUUAAAAAAUUUAAAAGUUGACACCAACAAAAAAUUUUGGUGAAAAAAAUGAAAAUGAUAGCUUAACAAAUGGAUUAGAGUUUUUUUUUUAUCACUAGUGUGCAUAGAAUUACACAAAAAUACUCUUAUUUUAUUUUUUUUAUCUUUUAUUAGAUAAUUUUUUAUAAUUUAACUAUAAUUCUAUUUAAUUUAUCCUUUCUUCUCAAUAAAAAUAUAAUAAAUAAAUAAUUUAUUAUAAUCAAGUUCGUUAAAAAGUUAUUGUCACUGGCAUUGUGUAUAGUAAAAUAAAAAAUUGGUGAAUAAGGAACAAAUUUAUUGUUACUAGUAUUUUCAUUAUAUUUAUUUAUGUUUUUAAUAUUAAAUAUUAUUGUAUCAUUUUUGCUUGAGCUAGGAUAAUUAUUGUGUUUUUUGAAUUAUGUUUUUUUUUUCAAUAAAUUAAAAAUGUUGUUAUAUAGGUAUCUCAAAACUAAUUAUUUCACCAUUACAUUAAGAAAUAGUCAGUCAAUUCUUAUAGUUUAUUAAUAUUCACUAGUGCAAAAAGAAAAAAAAGGAUACACUUUAUUUAGUGCGGCUUUUGCGCUACUCGCUUUCGUAAAAAAUGCGGUGGCAUUUUUGAAAUUAUUUUGAUUUACGAAUGCGGUUAUUUGUAUAACCGCACUUGUAAAUCAAAGCGUUUGAUUUACGAAUGCGGUUAUUUGAAUAACCGCAUUCAUCAAUCAAAAUUCUUUGAUUUACGAAUGCGGUUUUACCUUUAACCGCAUUCGUAAAUUCUUUUUUACCCUAAAUUUUGAAGCGCGCCACACACAAUUUCAAACUUUAUUUCUCCUCUUUGCCUUCGUUUCGCGAGUUCGUCUCCUUCUGUUGCAUCUGCAUUCCAUUUGUGCAAUGUAAGUUUCUUGAACUCUCUUUCUUCCUCUUCAUCUUCACAAAUAUAUGCAUAAUUUCGUUUUUCUUAUAUAUGUUUUUUUCCUUGCAUUGGUGGUCUCGAAGCACUGUUUCGUUGGCUGACAUUCGUUUUUCUUACAUUGUUUGGUUUCUCGCAUUGCUCAGUACUCUUUCAUUGUCUUCGUGGUUUCUUGUGGAUUUUUUGGUUUGCUCCAUUGUUGCUUCCCUGUCCGCCGUCGCUUCUGCUGCCGCCACCGUUGUUGGCGCUCCCGUGACUCUUCAUCAACGUUGGCUUCACACAAGAUUGACGAUGUUUUAAAAUUUUUAAUUUUUUUUAAUGAUUUGGCAUAUACAAGUGCGGUUAAAGCAAAUAAUCGCACUUGUAAAUGGUAUUUAUAAAUGCGGCUAUAUAGCCGCAUUUAUAUUUCUUGAUUUACAAGUGCGUGUUGAUCAAAUGCGGCUAUAAAGCCGCAUUUAUAAAUUAGAAAUAGCCGCAUUUGUUUUAUGUUUCUGCACUAGUGAUUCUAAUAGAUCAUCUAACAAUAAUAAUAGAGUAAACAACAAAACAUGAGCAAUAAGAAUAAUGAGAUAUCAACACAUAAGAAUUUAUCUUGGUUCACCUAAACUCAUACUACAUCAAGUUUCCUUAAACAACUUCUUAAUACUUGGUUACAACGAGUAUUCACACCUCUUCACGUUACAAUGAGUAUUCUCAACUCUUUAGGUUACAAAAAAGAUUUGUUCAUCUCCAAGUUACAACAAGUAUCAUAUUUUUAGCUUACACCUUCUUAAUAUCUCUCUAAGAUUAAAAUUUCCCAAGAAAACAAAUAACACUCUCAAAAGAGAACAAAAACAAAAGUUCAAAUGUGCAUAGUUUCACCUUGUGAAGAAUUACAAUGGUUUAGCACUCAACCCAAUAGAUUAAACACUAUAACAAUUUGACUAAAGCUCAUUGUAACUCUUGUAAUUUUAGCGUGAUCACUUCUAUAGCUUUUAUUCUUUGACUUGCCUUCCUUUUGUUCUUUACCUUCAAUCCUUUGUAUAGCUUUUUAAAUUUGUCCAUUCAUACUUGAAUUGGUUAAUUUUGAAUUUUGUAAUAUCUUCAUAUCUUUAUUUUUUUUGCUACACUCAAAACAAAAAUCUUAGAAUUUGCAAUUUUUACUUUGUUUUUCUUUGAAUUUGUUUAAGAAACUAAUUCAAAAAUAUUUACAAUAUGGUUUAGUAAAAACAAAUCAAAACAUAGAAAAUUAUUUUUGCUAAAAAGAGAGUACUUAAAUUUUCAAUUUUGUUUCCUUUUUAAAAAAAAUUAUUUAGAUUUUAUCAUGUUUCUAAAAAUUUUAAAAACUGACACCAACACAAAAUUUAGUGAGAAAAAUGAAAAGAUAACUUAACAAAUAGAUGAGUUUUGUUUUUUAACACUGUGUGUAUAGAAUUACAUAAACUAUUCUUAUCUUAUUUGUGUAUUUUUAUCAUAGAUAGAUUUUUAAAAUUUAGGAUAACCUAUUAACUAAGUUCCUUAAAAAUUUUAUUGUUACUAGAAUUGUUUAUAGUGAAAUAAAUAAUUCAAAAAAAUCAAAUAAAAAAAUUAAAGAAAAUACAAAUAUUAGAAUUUUUUAUUUAUAUAUAAAUCACAUCAAUUAUUAGUUGUGGUUGUAAAUAAACAUGAACCUUUAUUAUUAAUCAAAAUAUUUCAUUUAAAAAAUAUAAAUUAUCUAAUUAUUAAAAGUACAUUUAAAUGAAAAUAAUUAAUAUUUAAAUAUUUAAAAUUAUGUAUAUAUUAAAUAAUAAUAUUAUUUUUAUAUUUAUUUUUUUAUAAUUAAUACUAUUGUUAUAUAAAUUAUCUUUUAUUAUAAAUAAUUAUAUUUAUUAUAAUUAUUAUUAAAUAUUUUUAUAACAAAUUUAUUUAAUAGUCAAUAUUUUAUUUUUUAAAUAUUAUAGUUUUGAUUUGUUUUAGAUGGAUUGCUUUAAAAAAUUCAAGGAUAAUUUGGUUAAUUAGGAUAUAAUAUGUAUAGAAAUCUUUGGACACAUACAUGGGUAGAUGAAAAAAACCUAUGUAUUUCCAUUUUAAUGUGUGAACACAAAGAGCAAAAUCUCAUUUCUUUCUUUUUUUCUUUGUACGACUGUACUCAUUCCACAUUUGCUUUUUGUUGAAGCAAUAUUGGUUGUGUUUAUGUACAUAUAAGUUUGAUGAUAAGCAACAUUACAACAACAUUUCAAAUUACUCAUAAUGUUUUAUCAUGUUUCUAAAAAAUUUUAAAUUUGACACCAACAAAAUAUUUUAGUGAGAAAAAUGAAAAGGAUAACAAAUGGAUGAGAGGUUUUUUUUAUCACGUGCAUAGAAUUACACAAAAUACUCUUAUUUUAUUUUUGUAUUUUUAUAAAAAAAAAAUGUAUUAUUUAACUAUAAUUCUAUUUAAUUUAUUCUUUCGCAAUAAAAAUAAAAUACAUAAAUUUGUUAAAAAUUAUUGUCACUAACAUUGUUUAUAGUAAAAUAAAAAUUUAAAAAAUGAAAUAAAAAAUAUUCAACUAAAGAAAAUAUAAAUAUUAUAAUGUUAUAUUUAUAUAUAAAUCAUAACAUCUGCUCAUGAAGAAAAGAAAGUUGAUGUGGUGAAAACAUUUUCUUUUUCUCCUGCACUUUGCACUGCUCAUUAAAAGGAAGAAAGAUGUUGUCAUAAAAGCAUUCAUCCUUUUCACAGAUUCAUCCACAGUACACAUAUUAAAUGAGUAAUGAUACUGACUAAAAAAAACAUGUGGGAAAAAAGAAACAUUGGGAAGUGCAGAAAUGUGUGGGUAAAAAUAAACAUAUCCACUUCACCUAUAGAUAAAUUAAUAUUUUAAUUAUACUUAAUUUAUUUUUUAAUUUAAAAUAUUAUUAUAUUAUUAUAAUGAUAUGUACCUUUACUUUUAAUUUUUUGCUUACUCUACAUCAAACCUCUCCACCAACAGUUUUUCAUUAAUAAUCACAAGAGUUACAUGGUAAAUCUUUUGCAGAUACACUUAGUAUUGAGCUAGCAUAAUAACUCAAACCUUCUCUCUAAAGCUCUUUCAUUAUACAUGUUGUUUCAGUGACCCUUUCUUUCUUUGUAUGUUGGUGUCGUGUGAUGCUAGGCCAAAUUCUAUAAUAAUUGAGUAUAACUUUUGUUACGGGUUUGUUAACUUCAUUUUAUAAAUUCUAUUGCCUUUAUUUUUCUCCAUUUACUCUCUUUUUUCUUUCUUGGGAAUGACUUUCUGCAUCCCAUAAUUUAAAACCAAACUUCUGUAUAAUUUGAAAAUUCAUUUUUAUGAUUUUAAAAUUAUAUUCCAUAAUAUAUAAUACAAAAUAUAUUUUGGACUGUAUAUAUCAGAAUAAAUAUUUUAGAUUAUACAUUUUAAAAUAUAACUUUUGUAUUUUAGAUUGUGUUUUGCUAAUUUUGGAAAUAUACAAUUUCAAAUCUAUUUUUUUUAUUAAAUAAUUUGAAAUAUUCUUUUUUUGUUCUUUUUAAUAUUUGAUAUUUUUUAUCAUUAAUUUUGAAUGCAAUUAAUUUAUUUUAAAUAGUCGUUUUUUAUUUUAAACACAAAUAAUUUGUUCAAUACAAAGAUUUUUUUUAAUAGUAAUAAUAUUUAUCUAAAAUACAUAUAAUGAUACAUACUUUUACAAUAUCUUGCUAAAUUUAAAUACAAAAUUGAUGUACAUUGGAAAACUUUUAAAGAAGUGGAAUUAUGUCCUUAUUGCCUAUUCCCUACCGCACGUGAUCCCAUUCCACAGACAAUGUACUAGAUUUUGUCUUUAUGUUGGACUACAUUCUCUCACAUGUCCAUCCACAUUGAAUCACGCCGCAACUUGCAAGGAAGGUGUCAGUAGUUCAUUGAAAUUGCAUUAGACAUCUCAAACCCUCUUAUUCUCUUCUCCAACCUUUCUUUUCCUCUUCAUUUUUUUUUUUAAUGUUUCCUUUGUUUAAUCAGAAAGAUAUUGGAUUGGAACAGCUUCGCCGCCCUUAUCGGAGCCCGUGGAGGAGAGACCGACGACGAGGCCUGCGCCGCCUUCUGCGGUGGUCGUGAUGGGCCUCCCUCAAGACUGCGGCGGUCGUCGACUACAUUACUUACUGGUCAAAGGACUCCGUCGCCGGCCGCCAUAGUCGCCGGGUAUUUUCUUGCAGGUGGGAUCUAUGGGAUGCUCCAACUGUUGGUUGCUUUUCCGGUAAGAGAGUGAGCGUAUGAAGAAGAGUUCAUAGCAAACAUUUGUUUAUACCUUUACCAUUUUAUAAAAUGCAUUUUCAUUUGUUGUUUGAAAUUUGUUUUUUUUUGUAUUCACGCAUUCUCAAAUAAAUUCUCAAAUAAAGAUAUGAUGGUUCUGAUUUUGAAUACAUAAUUUAAGUUAAAAUAAUCGAUGUGAAAUAAGAGUUACUUGAUUCGUAAUUGCCGAGAAUCUAAACCAAUGAGUGUUUUUAGAUCUAUUUAUUUUUAAAAUAAUUGUUCAUUUUUGCAAAUAUUUUCAUUUAAUUUUUGUAGUUGGUCAUGCUUCUUCUACUCUACUGUUAUAAAUCGGAAGAAGAGUUCAUAGCAAAUGAUUUGCAGACUGCAUUGCUGCCAGUGUAUCUGAAGUUAUGUUAUCAUGGGUACGAAUUGGAUCGUGCACAUAUAUUUUGCAUGAGCAUGUUUGAUGACUUUGACAGGUUUAUGAAACAAAGCCAUAUGCUCCAGGGGUAAUGUUUAUAUAUACUUUUCUUCUUUUUGCAUCUUAGGAUAUGUGAUAUUAAGCCUAGAUUUUAAUAUAUCGUUGCAUAAAUUACUUUUUGUGACAGUCAUGGUCCUGACUUUUCCUUAGUUUUGUUUCAAUUAACAAUUGUGCCCUUUAGAUACAAUGUGCAUGAUGUAUACCAGAUACUUGGGUCAUUGAUCAAUAUUAGGAUUGUUGAGGCUUUUCACUAUGUAUAUGUUUGCACUGGCUCGCUUUUAAUUUGGUUCUGUGCAUAUUUUAUUAUUACGUGGAUUUUGUGAAUACAGUUGCUUUACUUGUUGUGUAGUUUAAAGUUUGUACAGUAUCUAUUUGUAUUUAGCUAUGAUCUUGUAGCUGUCACACUGGAACUUUGUAGCUUAUUGAUAUUUCUUAUGCUCUUUGGUUUUGGCAUCUCUUUCAGGAAAAUCUUCAACACUGGCUCUCUGAUGCAAAGGCCAGGGACCAGUUUGUGAUUCGUGCUGGUUCAAAUACUGAGGUUUUGUGGAAUGAUGCAAGGCAUUUGAAGCCUGAUCCUGUUUAUAAGCGGGCUGUGAAUAGGCAUUUUAUUUAAGUAUCUUGUACUCUAUGAUAUUUAUCAUUGCCUACCUUUACAUGAUUGUGGAUUGAUGUAGUUUUGGACAGAAAGUUUUGUCCAAUGGUCUCCUAUGGAGACAUACUUGGCCACUGUUCACAGAUAGGGGCUUCUGUCUGGGGAGAUUCUUCAAGCUUUAACAGCACAUCCUCAGGUUUUCUUUGAGAUUUAUUCAUUAUCAUUUAUCAACCGUUUUAUAUUUAUGUUCUUUUACAUAUUUAUAGGCGAGUCUGAUCCAAGUCCCCAGCAAAGAAGAACUCAGGCAGAAGAACCUUUUCUGCAGAGUUAUUAUAUACUUUUUGUUAAUAAUUUGUGUACUUUUUAUAUGCUUAUUGGCUACUAAUUUCAUAGAUAUUAACUUUACACUUCCCAUGCUGCAAUGCAGGUGAUUGGUUCAGGAACUGAAAGGAAAGGAUUCAUGGCAUUGAUAUUCAUUUGAAGGAUGGUGAUAAGUGGAUGUUUGCUGACCAUGAGGUGCGUGUAAUAGACACACCUGGUCACACCCGAGGUCACAUUCAUUCCUUAUUUCCAUUCUUAAUUCUUCUUAAUGGUGAAAAGUGUGAAAAAAAUUAUCAUUUUUCUCUUGUGUAACUCAUUUUUUCUAACUUUUUUACUUGAUUUAUACUGUAGGCCAUAUAAGCUUCAAAUUUUAAAAAUAUUUUUUGGGUUAAGAUCUUCAGUUGUUGACAAUUUGAUCCAUGUUGCAGAUGAUGUCUUCUCUUAAAAAGAUCAUGUCCCUACCAGAUUCAAAUAUAUACUGUGGACACGAGUAUACUUUGGCGAGUUACACUUACUCCAAUGGACACGAGUAUACCUUUAUAUUCUUUGCUUCUUUUUCUUAGCCUAAGUGCUGUGAAAUUGACUUUGUUAAUUUGGUGUUGGCACAGCAAUACAAAGUUUGCAUUGUCUAUAGAAACUGAAAACAAAGAACUUCAAUCUUAUGUUGCUCAUGGAGCUUACCUUCGAAGUAAAGGCUUUCCCACAGUAAGGUUGUAUUAACUUUAGUUUUAAAAUAUUGUUGUUGUUACUUGGAUUUGGUUUUGGAUUUUAAAACUGAAUUGGAAAUAUAUUCCCUGCAUUCUAUAUUCUAAAUGUUGAUUAUAGAAAGAUUUAAGAUUAGUAUUAUAAUUUACAUUUUGAUCUUAAUUGAAAAAAUUAAAUUUAUUCUGGAAUUUGGAUUUUGAUAAUAGAAAAAUUAAUGUAUUUGGAUAUUUGAACUAAAUUGAACAUAACUAUUGUAUUUUUUAUUUUGGUUUUUAAAUUGAUAAUAAGGUUUUCCAAAAUAAAAUUAACCAUCUUAUCGACGGUCAAAGUUCACUCAAAAUAAUUCAAUUUUUUUUAAAAAAAAAGUCUCUAACGAUAUCUCAAUUAUCAAAUUAUUUUUAAAAGUUGAUCUAGAAAAUAGUUACAUACAGAGUAUAUAUUCAUGGAAAUUUUUUUUUGGUAUGAAAUUAUGUUUUACAUACUGUUUUUUAUGGAUUAUGAAUUGAAUAUUAUUCAUUUAUAUUGAAAAUAAAUUAAAAUUAUUAAAAUUAUAUAUAUUAUUUAUCUUUAACAACAUAAUAUAACUUGCAACUAUUUUGAACUAGUUGUACAUGUGAAUGAGUGUGACAACUUAUUAUAUGUAUCCAUCGUAUUGUUGAUUAAAUCGUGUCAAAAGUAAUAAAAAUAUUUUCUAAUGAUGAAUAUUGAACUCACAAUGAACAAUUUUAAAAUCUCAAAUAUAAUAUUAAUUAAAUAUAAUGUGCCAAAGUUUGUUGGAAAGGUUGUUUGUAUUGUGAAUUUGCAAGAAAUCAAUAAAGCAUACAAGAUUUGUAAAAGUCAAUUGGGAAAAUUGGGAUUGAGAUCCUUCUCACUCUUUUGUAUUUUUUUAAAAGAAUAUAAUAUCCAAUUUUAAUUGAUAUUGAUGCACAUAUAAAAAUCAUUCAUAUUGAUUCGUCGCAUACAAAAAUUUUCUGAGAGUCUCUUAAAUAUCGAUUUCUCGCAUUUAUAAAAUUUCCUUAUUAUUACAAAUAUAUGUUAUAAAAUAAUUAACAUUUCAAAUUUAUUUCUAGCAUUCGAAUAUGUUAAUCAUUAUCAUUUAUGUUAAAUGCUUUGAAGUACUUUUCAUUUAAAUCUAAGGAUCAAAAUCAUGAAUAAUUAAAGUUUUGAAAAUAAUAUGAUAAUAUUAAUUAUCAAUUAAGAACUUAAUAUUAUAGAUAAAUAUCAUCUCAAUACAUAAGAAUUUGAAAAGAUUACUCCCAGUCCAAAGGGAAGAAUUCAUGUUGGUCAUUAUAAGCAUGAAAAACAAAGAAAAUAAGAUCUAGGAUGUUUCUCCUUGACGACGAUCUCCUUUAGGAUUUUCUAUGUCUCUAUAUUCUCUAUGUCUCAUGCCUUCUAUUUAACCUAGUUGAGCUUGGGUUAUGACAUCUUGUUUAAGCGAGUUGUUACUUGCUUAAGCAAGUAAGCAAGUUUGAUGAGAAAAAAAACCUAAUUUCACUAUAGGCAAGUCUUUGGCGAGUUUCUCUGGAGUCAUCUUGCUUUGGCGAGUUUUGGGCGAGUUUCCAAUAUUCCAACUUUUCAUUUUCAUAUUGUCAAUUCUCCUUUAGCCCUUUCAUCUCCAUUUUCUCUUAGAAUCCUGAAAUUAACACAAAUUUGAGAAUAAAUCGUUGUAAUUCAUUUUAUAAUCACAAAAUAUGUAAAAGUGUUUAAAUUCCUAAAUUAGGGGUUGAGUUAUAGUUAUUUUAUCAAUAAAAAUCUAUGAGUUUAUAUAUUUUAAUAUGGAAUAUUACUAAAUUAUGACACUUAUCACACACAUCCUCACAUUGUCAAAUAACGAUAAGUAUGACACGCUAACUGAUGUUAUACUUUUAUUAGCAACAAUGUAUCAACAAGUUCUCCCAAUAAAUCCUACUUACUCAUCUUGUCAUAUAGCAGUUGGUGGCAACACAUAAGCAUCAAUGUCAACGACAACUUAUUAUCUGUCCCUUCUAAUGUCCAACCUCAUUAGUCUUUGACCAACUUAUUAUGAUCCAUAUUUAGUCCUUACCUAUAUUUUUGCCAAUAAUAAUAACAAACAAUGAUUACUUUUUAAAAUUAAUACAUAUAUUUUUGUGUUUUGGAUUCGAAAAUAUAUUUCAAAAUGCAUUAUCCAUAAUGAAUUUAUAUAUUUCACACAGUGGAUUUUGAAAUGUGUUUUCAAAUUUAAAUACAUACAUGAAUACAAAAUUCAAAAUAUGUACUUAUAUUCUUAAUUAUGUAUUUCCAAAUUAAAAAAAACAGAGAUAACACAACACUAAAAACAUAAAAAAAAAAAAACUACAUAAACCUUUAGUUAUUCAACCGGCAUGACCGUGCAACAUAAUCUAUCAAUGAAAUUGACAUGAAAGGGAUGCACCACAUGGGAUAUAUAACACAUGGGGUACGACUGAGAUCGAGAAAAGAAAAGGUUGAUUUAUUAAUAUAAAUAUAUGGGAUGAAUAUUUUGGCCUUUUCAAAUAUACUAUAAGGAUGCAGUUUAAAUUUAUGUUCUUUUCAAAAAUAUACUAUAAAAUGCAGUUUAAAUUUAUGUUCUUUUAUCUUUUGUUUUAAAAUCCAAAAGUGAACGUUAAUGUGGAAUAAAAUAAUUAAAAUUGUAUUGAUAGAAAAUAAGGCAUAUUAGAUUUAACAAAUUUAUUUUAGAAGGAACCAAAACUAUUAAUUCUAAUUUAGGCCGAUUAAAAAUUUGUAUUUAAGUUAAAUAAGCUUUUGUUUUUGUUCUUGCAAAAAUUAGGUAAAGUCAAACUCCAUCAUAUGUACGUGAUACCUCACGCUCUAUGGUCCAUUCGUUUUUCUCUUCUUAAUCUUCUUUGUCAAUAUCUGUUUGGAUUUAUGCCUAAUCUUCUUAUCUCCGUCGGCUAGAAAACUUGCAAACAUACUCCGAUGUCCAAGUCAACUUCCUCGUAUAUUUAAAUGACUUAUUGUGGUUAACCUUUCUUUUGAAUUUUUUCAACUUCCCCAACUGCAUGAACUUUGUUACUCUUCUCCUCAAUUCUUCUAAGUUGUCAGCCGACUUUUUACAAAGGAUGUGAACGAAAGGGCCAAGUUUUAGAGUUGCUAACAUGUAAUGCAUCAUGACUUCCAGACUCAAGUUUCUUAUAUUGAUUUGCCAAAUUUUUUCCUGAAUGUUCGUAGUGACUCUCACUUUUUCGCCUGUUUACCAAGACUUUCGAAGUGAGGUGAUGCGGUCGACUGAUGAAAAAUUGCGAACUAAACAAACUAGUCAACAUGUUGAAGCAGUCUAUUGAUUAGUGGGGAAGCCUUGUGAACCAACUCAGUGUCAUGUUUUAAGUGAGGUAGGGAACACUCAACAUAGUAUGGUGUCAUUGGAGGCAUACUAACUGACCUGUGUUACAUACAUGACUAGAUGCUCGUCUAGGUCAGUAUACCCUUCAUACUUGCCAAAGAGACCUCCAUUAUAUCGGACGUAAUAUUGAGGAAGAUCCUAACAACAUUCUAAAGAUAUUCUAACGCUUAAAUUAACUUUUUCUUAUAUAUUUGAGUUAUUAUGAUUUUAUCUACCUUCUAAACAUUCCUUAAAUAUUCUAUUUACAUUUAUUUAGGAUAGACUUAAUUUUAGAUAUUUUCUUCAAGCCUAACCGAUUAAACCUUUUAAAGUAUAUUUGUAAAUGAAUAUAUUUGUUAAACACAUUCUACGACAUUUUUUUUCUUCUUUUUUUGAGACCGACAAGCCGAUAUAAAUUAAUCCUACAAAUAGAUGAGGACAAAAUAAUUAUGAUGAGGAGAGAAACCGAGCGGUAUAAUUUAUAAAAUAAAAAUAUAUUAAAAAAUAUAUAAACAUAUUGCUUCGCAUUAUAUUAACUCGAUAAAUAAAUUUAUCAAAUUUUAGUUUUCAACUAAUUACUUAAUUUUUGUUUAGCUAAAUAUUUCCCUAUUCUAUGCUUUGGUGAUUGGUUAUGCACCGAUAAAAGAUGAAUUCCUCGUUGGAUCCAAUUUGUUGAACGAUUAUGAAGCUUUGAACAUCUGCCACUGCAAGAUGUUGACGAUGAUCAUUGUUGCGCUCAUCACGGCCAUUCUUUUUGGAUUCUGCAUUGCUCCAGUCAACGGCAGACGCCGGAGGAACAGAGCCGUCGGGUUCUUCCAUCCGUACACUAACGACGGCGGCGGCGGGGAGAGGGUGCUCUGGUGCGCCGUCAGAGGCAUCCAAGAGGAAAUCCCUGAUCUUGACUGCUAUAUCUACACUGGAGAUCAUGACGCCACCCCUCAAUCGCUGAUGGCUCGAGCCCUCGAUCGCUUUGGGGUCACGCUCCUCUCUCCUCCAAAGGUACCUUCUUUUCUUAAUCUCUUAUCUGGGUUCUUAUUUUUUUCUGUUUUUGGAUUGUGGGGUUUUGUUCAUCUUUCGUUUUCAUUGUGACUUCGUAUAAUUUGAAGUGGGUUUUUCAGUUGUAGUAACGAUAAGAGAGUGGAAUAUUAUAGAAUGCUUUUCUGGGUUCGUAAGUGUAUACUUUGUGUAUGUUAGCAUAUUACUCAACCGUGGUUGUUAUUUUAUCUUUCAACUAUUCCUCUUGUUGGUUCGGUUAUUACUGCACUCAUAACUCAUGAAUUUAAUGUACUUUAUUUUCUGCUAAAGAAUGAGUGGAUUAGGAUCAAUGGAUCUAAUUUUCCUUCUAUAAGCUCAGGUGAAGCAUUGAGUUUACUUCAAAGUCUUCACAACAUUGAUGAUGUAUUCCAUUCUGUUGGGUGGAUCAAGCAACAGGACUUUCCCUAGUAUCAGGACUGCUGCAAAGAAUUCUAAAGUAGUUUGGGAUUUAGGUGGAAGGAAAAUUAUGGGAAUAGAUCUGGUAAGCGUGUGGAAAAAGGGUCUUUCUGGGGUAGUCCACCGUGGAUUAGAAAUAUGAAGUGAUCAGAGCUGUACUCUUGAAAGAAUGACUCAAAGCGGUGUUCUGUUUUAGUACAGUAGUGGACCAGAAGAUACUUUAUGAAUGAACUGAACUAUGUUCAAAUUACAUAGACGCUCUGUUCGUAGACCCAGGUGAUUCUAGAAUUGUCUGGAACCUCACGUUGCUCAAUCAAGCAUUUAUUGUUUUGCUAAAGUACCUACCAAUGAUGUAGAUUCUAAGGCUCAACUAUUUAAGCUCUCAAUUUACAAAUAAGGGCCUGAUUAUCCGGAAAAAAAAAAGAGGCCAUUCCUGAUAGCUUUGCUUCUUGUUGGACUAUUCUGAUGAUACAAAAUACGGAAUUCUGAAGGGAAGAAAGCCAAUACUCUUCAUAUACAACCGUAAGUUGCAAACUGAUCUUGGACCUUUGGCUCCUCUUGAACUGUAUUCCUCACUUUUAGGUGGAAGUGAGCCAGAGAAAGGUGGUAAAACAUAGCAUUGCUUGCUUAGCAGGUUUAGUAGACGAUAGGAAGGAGGGGAUGAGGGAUGAUUUAGCCAUGGAAUAAGAUAAUGUGAUGAUUAUAUAAUGUAAAGAAAUAUUGUUGUGAUGGUAUUUUUUUUUUUUUGGCGCCAAUUGUGCAAGAAUAUACUUGAUUUGUUUAGAAGCUUAAACCUGUGUAUCUUGUUAUCCUGGUUUUCAGGUGGUUCAUUUGUACAAGAGAAAGUGGAUCGAAGAAACCACUUAUCCGCACUUUACAAUGAUUGGUCAAAGUCUGGGUUCUAUGUAUCUUGCUUGGGAGGCUUUGUGCAAGCUUACUCCUUUAUAUUACUUUGACACAAGUGGAUAUGCUUUUACAUAUCCAUUAGCCCGGUUGUUUGGAUGUAAAGUUAUUUGCUAUACACAUUAUCCUACUAUCAGUUCAGACAUGCUAUCUCGUGUUCGUGAGCGCAGUUUGAUGUAUAAUAAUGAUGCCUUAAUUACAAAAAGGUUUGAUUUCUUCAAACUAUCGGAUUUGUACAUUUUGUUGCCACUUAUAGUCUAGUCAUACUUCACAAGAUUUCCUCACCUGUUAAAUGGUAUCAGUUCUGUCAUUUCAAUAUGACUUAAAUUUGAUUAUUAUUCCGCAUCCAAUUUGUUUUGCGCCCAAGGGUAGAAGGGAAUCAAUCUUUUUAAAAGUAUUUUGGUAUAGAAAUUGGUAAAGUUGAAGCUUUUUCAUGUGAAAGUUCACCUUUGCAUGCUUCCCCAUACUCUUCAGUGCAUACACGCUUCAAUGCUAUAAUUUGCACUAAAUUCACAAUCUAUUUUGUCUCUUUCAUGUUUUAAGGAAUCUAAGAGUUUUUUUUCUUUUUCUUGCAGUGUUUGGCUUUCAAGAUGCAAGAUUGUCUAUUAUACAUUCUUCAGCUGCCUGUAUGGGAUUGCAGGAUCAUGUGCACACCUGGCUAUGGUCAAUUCAUCUUGGACCAAAUCCCAUAUUGAAAAUCUUUGGAAAGUUCCAGAUCGUAUUAAGCGAGUUUAUCCUCCUUGUGAUACUUCUGGACUCCAGGUUUGCAAUUUGUUAUUUAUAGUCCUAGAAACAUUAUUGUAUUAUCUAGUUCAUGUUUUUCAUAUUUCUUUGGGUUGGGUGGAUAGCUUUCCUAUAUUGCUUGUUACUUUGUGGCAGUGAAGUCUGUUAUGGUCUGUUUCUUCUAUGUGUCCUCCUGGUGUAGUAUCUGUAUCUUUACCAAAUGUUUAAAACUUGAGUUUAAUGUCAACUCUCAAUAUGAGGAUGAUACUAUGUGUGUUUGUGGUUUUCUUUACAUAGUUCAGUAAUCACCAAGAAAAUCUAACAGGUGAGCAAUAUAAACAGGUACUUCCCUUGGAACGAUCAACAGAAAUUCCUGUAAUAAUAUCUGUUGCACAAUUUCGACCGGAGAAGGUGGGCAUAUUCCUAUGAAUCUUGUGAACAAAAGGUACAACCUUUUUAUGUGGCUCGUUUGAGCCUUUGUUAGUUAAACCAAUUUGACAUUUUUUUUUUUCAUUUAAAUGUAGGCACACACUCUCCAACUAGAGGCUUUUUCAGCUGCCAUUAAGAAAUUAGAUCCUACCUUGCCAAAACCUAAGUUACAAAUUGUGGGUAGCUGUAGAA
RNAcentral lists this long non-coding RNA (33241 nucleotides) under Phaseolus vulgaris (common bean). Its description in RNAcentral is "long non-coding RNA (PVUL_LNC000876)". Lineage: Eukaryota; Viridiplantae; Streptophyta; Magnoliopsida; Fabales; Fabaceae. The record is from RNAcentral.